UACGUAUGGUGCAAGCGUUAUCCGGAUUUACUGGGUGUAAAGGGAGCGUAGGCGGCGCGUUAAGUCUGAUGUGAAAACCCGAGGCUCAAUCCCCGGACUGCUCUGGAAACUGUACGGCUGGAGUGCAGGAGAGGUAAGUGGAAUUCCUAGUGUAGCGGUGAAAUGCGUAGAUAUUAGGAGGAACACCAGUGGCGAAGGCGGCUUACUGGACUGUAACUGACGUUGAGGCUCGAAAGCGUGGGGAGCAAACAGG
RNAcentral lists this ribosomal RNA (253 nucleotides) under uncultured bacterium. RNAcentral's name for it is "partial 16S ribosomal RNA". It matches the Rfam family "Bacterial small subunit ribosomal RNA", at positions 524 to 776 of the family's 1533-position model. The record is from RNAcentral.